AACGGGGUACCCGAAACGGAGACUUCGGUUGAAGUUUUGGACUACCUAGUGGCGGACGGGUGAGUAACGCGUGAGCAAUCUGCCUCACAGAGGGGGAUAACACAGAGAAAUUUUGUGCUAAUACCGCAUAACAUAUAGAGGAGACAUCUUCUUUAUAUCAAAGAUUUAUCGCUGUGAGAUGAGCUCGCGUCUGAUUAGCUAGUUGGUGGGGUAACGGCCUACCAAGGCGACGAUCAGUAGCCGGUCUGAGAGGAUGAACGGCCACAUUGGGACUGAGAUACGGCCCAGACUCCUACGGGAGGCAGCAGUGGGGAAUAUUGGGCAAUGGGCGAAAGCCUGACCCAGCAAUGCCGCGUGAAGGAAGAAGGCCUUCGGGUUGUAAACUUCUUUUACCGAGGACGAAGAAAUGACGGUACUCGGCGAAUAAGCUCCGGCUAACUACGUG
RNAcentral lists this ribosomal RNA (445 nucleotides) under uncultured bacterium. Its description in RNAcentral is "bacterial SSU rRNA". It matches the Rfam family "Bacterial small subunit ribosomal RNA", at positions 65 to 507 of the family's 1533-position model. The record is from RNAcentral.